GUUGACCAGAAUGGUCUUGAUCUGUUGACCUUGUGAUCCACCCUCCUCGGCCUCCCAAAGUGCUGGGAUUACAGGCGUGAGCCACCGUGCCCGGCCGGAAUGAACUGUUUUUAAAGCUCGGGGGCUGGAUAACUUGCAUGGUAGGCAAAUUGCCCUGAACAAGGCAAUUUCAGUGUAGCGGUCAGGAGGAACAUGGCCAUGUGGCUACCAAGUUCCGUCUUCUUUUCUGGGGGGUAUUUUUUUUUUUUUUUUUUUUUUUUUUUUUUUUUUUUUUUUUUUUUGAGAUGGAGUCUCACUCUGUUGCCCAGGCUGGAGUGCAGUGGCACGACCUCAGCUCACUGCAACCUCCAUCACAUGAGUUCAAGCCGUUCUCCUGCCUCAGCCUCUCAAGUAGCUGGGAUUACAGGCUUGUGACACCACACCCAGAUAAUUUUUUGUAUUUUUAGUAGAAAUGGAUUUUCACCAUGUUGGCCAGGCUGGUCUUGAACUCCUGACCUCAAGUGAUCCACUCAUCUCGGCCUCCCAAAGUGCUGGGCUUACAGGGUAAGCCACCGUGCCUAGCCCCAGGAUUUCUAAUUCUAAGUUCCAUUAUCCUCCCAUGAUACCACCCUGUCUGUCAAGGACACCCUGUGGUGUCUUACUUGGUAUCAUGCAUGGAGGUGCCAUCACUACCCCAGACAAGGUGACAUGGACCCAUGACAUGGACACAUUGCACCUCUCUCGUCAUCUCACAGACAUAGGAGAGACAGUACUUGAAAUCACACACACCCAGGCCUUCUCUUAAACAGGGUCUUUGAAUUCAUGUGGUGACUUUUUGCUUUACUUACAUUGUUCACUAAAUUUAGAUCACGAAAGAGUGAGUUAUUUCUAUGUUUACAUCUGAAACUAUCACUGUUAACUAACAGCCACACUGGAUCCUUCUCAGCUACAUUCAGAACUUCUGAAAUGGUCCUGUUUUCUAGAUUUUACAGUGUUUCAGCAAGUGCAGCAACCAAUGCUGUUUUGUCUAAAAUGCUGUAUGUGCGAGGUGCUGAUACGUGGAUAGGAAUAAACAGGUAUAUUGAUGGGGCUAAUAUGUUGAAUGGGAUGAUCUACUGUUGACUUCAGACAGUUCAUUGGUAAAAUUGCAGUUGUUUGGGGUUUGGAGUUUGGUCCUAAACUUUGUAUGUAUGGAAACUAAAUGUAGUCAGUUGAUCUAAAGUUGAUCAGGUUUAGGAGAACUAACUGACUCUAGACAGAUGCUCAUAGUAUUGAUUGAUAAAUGAGAAUGACAGUCUCACUCAACAAAUGAUUCUUGCCUAGAUGCUCUGCAAUAGGCUCCAGGCUAGGUAUGAAGGAUCAUGGAGCAGAUGCUGCUGGACCUCCCUACCCCACGCCCUUCCCAUUCAGUCUUCCCACAUCCAGUGCCAGCACCUACAUUCCGCACCCCAUAGGAGCAACCCUCCAGCAGUGCUGAUGGGAGAGGGAGAUGAUUAAUUCUCAGGUUCUGCACUGGCCUCUGAGUUCCCCCAGAGUGCGUAAGCUCCAGUCACCCGUGGUGGGAGCUGGUUUGGGAAUUCGCCUGUUAAUGGUUAUGUUCUCUCCCUUAG
This is a long non-coding RNA of Callithrix jacchus (white-tufted-ear marmoset), 1589 nucleotides long. The record is from Ensembl. NCBI's taxonomy places the organism in Eukaryota, Metazoa, Chordata, Mammalia, Primates, Cebidae.